This 170-nucleotide ribosomal RNA is filed under the name Flos anniella. RNAcentral's name for it is "partial 16S large subunit ribosomal RNA". The record is from RNAcentral. Lineage: Eukaryota; Metazoa; Arthropoda; Insecta; Lepidoptera; Lycaenidae.
UAAAUUAAAUUUACUUUAAAAUAAAUUAAUUUUCAUUUAUUUCAAAUUUCUAUAACUAUACUAAUUUACUAUAAAUUUUUUAAUUUUUUCUAUUAAAAUACUUUAACCCCCAUAUAUUUUAAUAUUAAAAUUAUUUUCAUUAACCAUAAAUAAUUAAUUUAUAUUUUAUU